This is a long non-coding RNA of Zingiber officinale, 279 nucleotides long. RefSeq lists it as uncharacterized. Lineage: Eukaryota; Viridiplantae; Streptophyta; Magnoliopsida; Zingiberales; Zingiberaceae. The record is from RefSeq and is a predicted model, not a curated record. The transcript is spliced from 3 exons.
GUUUCAUCUGGAUUUGUUUUAACUCCGAAUCUUGCUCAAUUGUCUCCAUUUAGCUGUUCUUCCUGUUCUGGAUUGGAUGAAGGCAUCAGAUCGAAAUAUUGGAGGAUUGCACUGUUGCCGAUCACUGCCACUCCAACUCUUGAAGCUGUGGAGGUCACGGGUGUGAAGGAAUUCUUGGUGGUUGUGUGCAGAGAUUGGUAGAGGGCUGUUGAGCUACUGGGUUUGUUGCCAUACCUCAAGGACUUGGAUUCGGGACGAGCGUCUCGACACGGGAUUACU